Molecule: long non-coding RNA, 1331 nt
Organism: Oxyura jamaicensis (ruddy duck)
Lineage: Eukaryota; Metazoa; Chordata; Aves; Anseriformes; Anatidae
Exons: 3
Source: RefSeq, a predicted model, not a curated record
UGGCUAUCUUGUUUCCCCAGAGAAGAACAGAUCAUGGUUUCUCUUCCCAAGGACACCCAUGUGCCUGUGUGCAGGAAGGAAACAUCUGUGGAGAGGUGAGUGAAUUACCAGUGUGAGGCUGCACUGAGAUACACAAUAGGACUGAUGCUAUGACGGAGUGGAAGUAGGAGUAGGACUGAACCAUCCCCUGUACCUGAUGAUGGAAGGUAUUAGAUGCUGUGGGAAUCAAACCGAGCAGAGUGCCCUACUUGACAAAAGGUGGAGGAAAUGACACUGCACAAGGUCAUGUUGUUUCUGGACAAAGCAUUUGUCACAGCUGCAGAAUUGUUCUGUUUUGGAUGAGAAGGGUAAUGUAUAUUUUUAAUCAAAUAUUUAAGAAAUUGUUCCCGAUAUGAAUGUAUUCUGAUGAACACUGUGUACCAGUCUUUGCUAAUGUUGACUGUCCCUGUGACCUUGGGUGAAUUAUUGCAUCUCUUCAUGCAUAUCCCCAUCUAGGUCUUUCUCCUGGCGAUGGGGUGAGGAUUCAUUAGCUAAUGUUUACAAAGUGUUUUGAAGACAUAAAUACUGCUAUUACUUUAAUGACUCUAAAUUUCAUAAGAUUAAGAGGGCAUCUUGCCCUUUGCACCCUACUCACCAACUGUGGAGUGCAGUAACCAUCCCACAAAUAAAUGCAUCAUUCACAUCAAUCUUACACAUAGCUGUUAUCUGCUACGACAAUUCUUUAUAUAUCUACAUGGUCAUUGGUUGUCCAAUGUCUACACGUGCCUAAUCUUUUAUAGCAAUUAAGGGAUAAAUUGUGUUCAUUUUUACAAAAAAAAAGUUUACACUGGAGAUGAAAUAUUUUUCACAGAGGAAGUAUUUGUUGCUCCAAGUGACUACAGCAUGAUUUUUUUCUCAGUCAGGACAGAUAUAUACUCUCAAGUCCCUCAUUUUCCAGGCAAACAGCAGAAUCUUAUUUAGACCUGGGAGCACAAUUAAAAUGGUGAAAGAUUGAAAUAUGUAAAUUUAUUUUAUGCUGAAUCUCCAGAAGACAUUGGCAGCUAUGGUAGCCAUUGUUGUGUUUUUUCUGUCCUUUCAGACUAAUACUCCCCAAUGCUGUCCUCUGUUUCUCAUGCUGUGGCUUAAUAUGCUACAGGAGAUCUCUCUAGCACUGCGAGGCAAUAGAAGUCUUGAUGAGAGCCACUGAGAAAGAGUAAAUGCUCAUAAAAGUCUGAAAAUCCUACAUACUGCUGAACCUCAGAUUUCCACCAACUCUUAGCGUACUUUAACAUUGCUUUGAUUUAUAUCUUGAUGUACAGUCCCUGUGCUAAUGUUAAAUAAGUGCAGAUUUA